ACUAAAAAAUACAAAAAAUAAGUCAGGCGUGGUGGCACGUGCCUGUGGUCCCGC
This 54-nucleotide non-coding RNA is filed under the name Homo sapiens (human). Lineage: Eukaryota; Metazoa; Chordata; Mammalia; Primates; Hominidae. The record is from RNAcentral.